Molecule: ribosomal RNA, 435 nt
Filed under: uncultured bacterium
Lineage: Bacteria
Description: partial 16S ribosomal RNA
Rfam family: Bacterial small subunit ribosomal RNA
Source: RNAcentral
AGCGAACGCUGGCGGCAGGCUUAACACAUGCAAGUCGAGCGGGCAUCUUCGGAUGUCAGCGGCAGACGGGUGAGUAACACGUGGGAACGUACCCUUCGGUUCGGAACAACUCUGGGAAACUGGAGCUAAUACCGGAUACGCCCUUAUGGGGAAAGGUUUACUGCCGAAGGAUCGGCCCGCGUCUGAUUAGCUAGUUGGUGGGGUAACGGCCUACCAAGGCGACGAUCAGUAGCUGGUCUGAGAGGGUGAUCAGCCACACUGGGACUGAGACACGGCCCAGACUCCUACGGGAGGCAGCAGUGGGGAAUAUUGGACAAUGGGCGCAAGCCUGAUCCAGCCAUGCCGCGUGAGUGAUGAAGGCCUUAGGGUUGUAAAGCUCUUUUGUCCGGGACGAUAAUGACGGUACCGGAAGAAUAAGCCCCGGCUAACUUCGUG